Lolium perenne is the source of this 1135-nucleotide long non-coding RNA. RefSeq lists it as uncharacterized. NCBI's taxonomy places the organism in Eukaryota, Viridiplantae, Streptophyta, Magnoliopsida, Poales, Poaceae. The record is from RefSeq and is a predicted model, not a curated record.
GGUCGUGGUCCAGGCCGUGGGCAAUCUACUUCAUCGAGGUUUUCUGCUCUUACAUUUGUGCCUGCCUGUGUCCAUAUCAACCUUUCUCUGGCUGGUGCUAAUCGCCCAUUGUCUGCCGUGCCGGUCCAAGUCUCUUCAGGUAUUUUCUCUGAAGUCGAUGCUCGGAGGGCUUCUGCUGGUGACUCAUUUGAUUUUUUUGUACACAAUAUUCUUUUAAUUUCAGGAAGACUUUUUUCACUUGCCGCAGACGUUUUGUUCACUGAAAAUAUAUUGCCUUCUUCUAAUCUCUUUUCUCUUACCGAUCUUUACCUUCUGGUUGGCACCAAUUCACGGUGCAACUAAGCUGAUAUUGCCAUUGUUCCUCUCUAAGUUUUCCAUCCAGUUUCCAUCCGAUACAUUCCUCCAGGUCGUCUUCUGCCUUAAUUCCUUUCCUUUCUCUUACACCUCAGAUCAAUGUUUUUUCUGCUAUUUGACUCCGAUUGCAUUGCCAUCUGACGGUAUUGAUUUCGCUAUCAGAACAGCAGGUGUACAGCUCCUGCCAUAGAAAUCCAAAAUGAAUAUUGUUGAGGUUUGCCGGAUAAGGAUCAAGGAAAUCAUCAUUGGCGACGCCCAGCAAAAUUCACGGCUGUGUGCUCCAGUUAAUGCAGUGGUUCAUUCUAUUGCAGAUAAAUUACUACAGUAGCUAUAUCCAGGGGCAAUCAAUCUAUCUACUGAUGAGAAGAUUAUUGUGUCGUAUCCUUAUACAAGAGAUGCACUGCAUGCUGUAAAUUUUAGCCGAAAACAAGAAAACAUAUGGAUCAAUGUUCACCUGUAUCGAUUUACUUACGGCGACACACUGGCUCACGUAAGGACUGUAAAUAUUAACCAGCGCUGGACAGAGAGCUCAUGUUUGGAGAUCAAAGCUCCCCAUUUGUUUCCCAAUAAGUGUAUUAUUUUUUUGAACAAAGUUCAGGUUCCACUAUGAUAUAACUAGGAGGUGUACAUAGUUAUAAGAGUGCACCAACUACUGCAUGUAGAAGCCGUAUAGUUCCCCCUGCUGAAUGCUAUAUGUCACCAAAGAUGUUUGAGCUAUCCCCAGGUGGCAAGUGUAAACGUCCAUUGCUUGAUAAUAUCUGUAGAUGCUAACAGUCUUAAA